This 459-nucleotide ribosomal RNA is filed under the name uncultured bacterium. RNAcentral describes it as "partial 16S ribosomal RNA". It matches the Rfam family "Bacterial small subunit ribosomal RNA", at positions 338 to 795 of the family's 1533-position model. The record is from RNAcentral.
CCUACGGGAGGCAGCAGUGAGGAAUAUUGGUCAAUGGGCGGGAGCCUGAACCAGCCAAGCCGCGUGAGGGAAGAAGGUACAGCGUAUCGUAAACCUCUUUUGUCAGGGAACAAAGGCGGGGACUAGUCCCCGGAUGAGGGUACCUGAAGAAAAAGCAUCGGGUAACUCCGUGCCAGCAGCCGCGGUAAUACGGAGGAUGCGAGCGUUAUCCGGAUUUAUUGGGUUUAAAGGGUGCGCAGGCGGCCUGUUAAGUCAGCGGUAAAAGCCCGGGGCUCAACCCCGGCGAGCCGUUGAAACUGGCGGGCUUGAGUUGGAGAGAAGUACGCGGAAUGCGCGGUGUAGCGGUGAAAUGCUUAGAUAUCGCGCAGAACCCCGAUUGCGAAGGCAGCGUACCGGCUCCACACUGACGCUGAGGCACGAAAGCGUGGGUAUCGAACAGGAUUAGAUACCCCAGUAGUC